AUACGGAGGGUGCAAGCGUUAUCCGGAAUCAUAGGGUUUAAAGGGUCCGUAGGCGGACUAUUAAGUCAGAGGUGAAAUCCCACAGCUCAACUGUGGAACUGCCUUUGAUACUGGUAGUCUUGAGUUAUAUGGAAGUAGAUAGAAUGUGUAGUGUAGCGGUGAAAUGCAUAGAUAUUACACAGAAUACCGAUUGCGAAGGCAGUCUACUACGUAUAUACUGACGCUAAGGGACGAAAGCGUGGGGAGCGAACAGGAUUAGAAACCCCAGUAGUCC
RNAcentral lists this ribosomal RNA (274 nucleotides) under uncultured bacterium. RNAcentral's name for it is "partial 16S ribosomal RNA". It matches the Rfam family "Bacterial small subunit ribosomal RNA", at positions 523 to 796 of the family's 1533-position model. The record is from RNAcentral.